Macaca fascicularis (crab-eating macaque) is the source of this 1644-nucleotide long non-coding RNA. Lineage: Eukaryota; Metazoa; Chordata; Mammalia; Primates; Cercopithecidae. The record is from Ensembl.
GGGUCUAAUCAGAAAUGAUGAAUGGAUGAACACUAAUGGAAUUUUUGGAGAGGUCACUCUUUCAGGGGGCUAAGCAUCUUGAUUUGUGCAUCUUUAAGGGGUGUGGUACAGAGCCCAAAGGCAUUACCUAAGCUCACCUGCCAGGUGAUGGCCUAGUGGGAUCAUCGUGGACUUGGGCCAACAACUAGACACUGUUGAUGGCAGUUACACCUGUGCAGAUGCAAUGUAAGUUUAUAAUGGAAGUGGGUACUCCAUUCAUGGCUAAAAAGUCCUAUUUACAAGCCUCGUGAGUAAAGAGACAGCCAUACACUUUUGUUUUGAGAUAUGUACAUAUUUAUUUUUGUUUUUAUUUAAGUUUUAAAGCAAGCUGUAUACUCUUUAGAAAAUUUUUAAGGAAGUAGAAAUAUAUGAAGACUGAAACAAAAAUAAUUCUAAAUUCCUCAGCCCAGAAACAUUCACUGCUAAUGCUGUGGUAUACAGCAGACACUUGAAACUUGUGAGUGGACAUACUGAGCACAUGAAAAAUGGACACAUUCACCCAUCCCACCAUAGCCUAUAAGUCAUCUCUAAAGAUCGAGUAAAUUAUAGUGGAAAAUUUAAGUGCCCACUUCAGAGCACUAAAAAUUCCUUUUAAUUUUUUACUUGAUGAGUAAUUUUUGCAUUCUCUGGAAUACAGGCAGAAAAGUUUCAUGAGUUAGUUUUUGUCACUUUCAGGGUAGAAAAAAUGAUGAACUCAUUCAUCAGGCUCCCAACUUCCAUAAGAAGCAUCCCUCCAUCGCUGUUCUGCUCCUGCCACAGUCUCUCCACUUCCAUGACCAGCACUGGCUGAUUGGGUUCUAUCCAAACUCAUCACACUCUUUUUUUCUUUUUAAGAUUUUGUGAAAAAGAUGUCGUGUUUUCUUUUAAAUAAUUUAAAUCACUUUGCAGAGUGUUACUUGAUUUCGUAAUAAUAAAAUCCUUCUGACAAGUAGCUGCUGGUUGGCUGCCCUGUUACUCUAUGUAAAUUGAUCAUCCCUCCACACCAGAGUUAUACACUUAACAUCUCAAAUUCAUACAUCAGCAAUGCAACUGAUUUGUAUGUUUUAUGAACUUUGAGUUGCUCAUGAUUAGAAAAGUUACAUAUGCAUAUGUUAGAAUUUUAUUGUUUUUCUGUCUAGCCUUUUUCUCUCUAACUCUGUAUGUGGGGUGUUGUAUGUGUGAGUAUGGCUAUGUAUGUACAAUGUAUAUACAGUUCCUACAUGUUAUAUUCUUAAAUAUUGUCAGUGGAGCAUUUUUCCAGUUCAUUAUGAGUAUCCAUUUAUUGAUUUAUUUGUUUGUUGUAUAUUGUUUGUCUUACCCACCACAAAAUACACAUCAUCAGAACAUACACAUUUUACUGUUGUUCAUUGUUAUAUCCCCAGCAUCUAGAAUAAGUCCUGGCGAUAAUAGAUACUAAAUAAACAUUAGUUUAUUGAAUAAAUGAAUGGCUAAAAUAGCCACUGGAUAUAUAGUUUCUUUUCUUUUCUUUCUUUCUUUCUUCCUUUCUUUUUUUUUUUUUUUUUUUAGACAGUGUCUUGCUCUGUCACCCAGGCUGGAGUGCAGUGGCAUGAUCUUGGCUCACUGCAAGCUCCACCUCCUGGGUUCACGCCAUUCUCCUGCCUCAGC